CCCGCACAAGCAGCGGAGCAUGUGGUUUAAUUCGAAGCAACGCGAAGAACCUUACCUAGACUUGGCAUCUCCUGAAUUACCCGUAACUGGGGAAGCUCUUCGGAGCAGGAAGACAGGUGGUGCAUGGUUGUCGUCAGCUCGUGUCGUGAGAUGUUGGGUUAAGUCCCGCAACGAGCGCAACCCCUAUCGUUAGUUGCUACCAUUAGGUUGAGCACUCUAGCGAGACUGCCCGGGUUAACGGGAGGAAGGUGGGGAUGACGUCAAAUCAUCAUGCCCCUUAUGUCUAGGGCUACACACGUGCUACAAUGGUGAGGACAAAGAGACGCAAGACCGCGAGGUGGAGCAAAUCUCACAAACCUCAUCCCAGUUCGGAUUGCAGGCUGAAACUCGCCUGCAUGAAGCCGGAGUUGCUAGUAAUCGCGAAUCAGCAUGUCGCGGUGAAUACGUUCCCGGGCCUU
RNAcentral lists this ribosomal RNA (458 nucleotides) under uncultured Clostridium sp. Its description in RNAcentral is "bacterial SSU rRNA". It matches the Rfam family "Bacterial small subunit ribosomal RNA", at positions 920 to 1382 of the family's 1533-position model. The record is from RNAcentral. Lineage: Bacteria; Bacillati; Bacillota; Clostridia; Eubacteriales; Clostridiaceae.